RNAcentral lists this ribosomal RNA (301 nucleotides) under uncultured bacterium. Its description in RNAcentral is "partial 16S ribosomal RNA". It matches the Rfam family "Bacterial small subunit ribosomal RNA", at positions 509 to 807 of the family's 1533-position model. The record is from RNAcentral.
CAGUAGCCACGGUAAUACGGAGGGGGCUAGCGUUGUUCGGAAUUACUGGGCGUAAAGCGCACGUAGGCGGCUUUGUAAGUUAGAGGUGAAAGCCUGGAGCUCAACUCCAGAAUUGCCUUUAAGACUGCCGAGCUAGCAGGUGAGAGAUGUAAGUGGAAUUCCGAGUGUAGAGGUGAAAUUCGUAGAUAUUCGGAAGAACACCAGUGGCGAAGGCGGCUUACUGGCUCAUACUGGACGCUGAGGUGCGAAAGCGUGGGGAGCAAACAGGAUUAGAUACCCCCGUAGUCCCUGUCUCUUAUAC